UUUCCGUAGGUGAACCUGCGGAAGGAUCAUUCAUAAUAAAGUGUUUUAUGGCACUUUUUAAAAAUCCAUAUCCACCUUGUGUGCAAUGUUAGAUCUCGUCAAUCUUGGCGAGAUUUUUAUACAUCAACUCAUUCUUUAACUAAUUUGUCUGAAAAAUAUUAUGAAUACUUAAUUCAAAAUACAACUUUCAACAACGGAUCUCUUGGCUCUCGCUCGAUGAAGAACGCAGC
RNAcentral lists this unclassified non-coding RNA (230 nucleotides) under plant metagenome. RNAcentral's name for it is "partial contains small subunit ribosomal RNA, internal transcribed spacer 1, and 5.8S ribosomal RNA". The stretch from base 183 to 230 matches the Rfam family "5.8S ribosomal RNA", at positions 1 to 49 of the family's 154-position model. The record is from RNAcentral.